UCAAAAGAAUGCUGGUUUUGUUUAUCGAGCCCCAAUGUGGAGUCUCAUCUGAUCAUCAGUGUAGGAGAAAGAUACUACUGUGCACUGCCCAAGGGACCAUUAGUUGAAGAUCACGUGCUGAUAAUACCUAUCGAGCAUCUACCAAAUACUCUUUCUUUGCCUCCAGAAAAUGAAACAGAGCUUAACAAAUUCCAGAACUGCCUGAAGUUGUAUCAUAAGAACCAACGGAAGGAAGUUGUUUUCUUUGAGUGGGUUUCCAAACGUGGGACUCAUGCUAAUCUUCAGGUAUUGUCAUAGUGCAAAGAAAAUUUAUAACAUGUUGCUUAUGGUAUUACUUUAUCUUCUUCAUCCAUCUUGUCAUUUUAUCUCUCUACGUGCCAGCCAGUCACUUUCUUAUUCUCAAUAGUUUGAUUGCAUUGCCUGCAGGCUGUUCCUGUUCCAUCAUCUAGAGCAGCUGCUCUUCAGAGCAUAUUUAGUUUAGCUGCGGAGAAGUUGGGAUUUAAAUUUAACUCCUUGAGUAAGUUAAAUUUGUCAUUUCUCCUUUUUUUUGGAGUUCCAUAAUAGGACAAAAAAUUCAGUGACUAUGGUCCUUAAUCCUUGAGAUCAUACCAUAAUGCACCUUUUGGGCUUACAGACAACAAAUUUAUGUUCCCUUUGCUCUAGUAGUCACUAUAAGAAUUCCUUAUUCAUGUUUUACUGCAUAGAGUCAUUGGCUACAGUGGACAAUUGAAAGUUUACAGUUGCUUGUCAGUGUUUUGGUGCUAUAUAGCUCCCAGUGUGAGAAAUUAAUGCUCUGAUAUUGACUUAUUGAUCUGCCUCAUGUGUGAGAUUUUUGUCACCUAUGCUGGGAGUGGCUGAGGCAUUGAUGGUUUAUGAGAAUGUUCUGGUUUUCUUUGAAUGAACACAAACUGUUUUGUCUGUUGAUUCAACUGCAUAUAUUGUAUUCAUAUUGUGCUUCUCUUGAUUUAGGCACUGAUGGUAGAAAAAUGUUGAGAACGGAGUUUGACGGUAAAUCUAGUCUCUUUUAUGUGGAAUUACCUGAAGGAACUGUACUAUCCCAUAUAGUGGAGGACAACGAGAACUUUCCUGCUCAAUUUGGACGUGAGGUAAUCUAUCUGGCGUUCUUAGUCUAUUUGCUUCGACUGGUUUUCAUCUAGGCUUAAGUUAUUGCUUCUGAGUUUAGUUUGGUUUUUCAGUUAUGGAAUAUGGUAUUAAUUCUGUCCCUACGUAUGGUCGGUGACGGAUGUCAAUAAUUUGGACAAAGUGGUCUUCAAAAAUGUCUUUCAACUUGAAGCCUUGGACAACUUUUGAAAUUUAAAUUUAGCGGACUGUAGUCUAAGCACGUAACAUGAUGCCUGUGAAACUGUGCAGGUGGUGGCGGGUUUGUUGAACGUGGCAGAUAAGGCUGAUUGGAGGAAUUGCGCGCUAAGCAAAGAAGAAGAGAUCAAAUUGGCGGAAGAAUUCAAGCGCCGAUUUGCAGCAUUCGACCCCAAUACAUGAUUGUCGCACUGAGGGUCAACAACAGUACGCGUCUUCCGUCUUUCCCUUAUUAUAACGACCUUGGAAUUCCAAGACAACCUAAGGGGGGAUGUUCCGCAAGAGCGGACAAAAGAAAACAUCCACGAAGUCGAUUCAUGCAUCAGGUGUCGAGCAUGCAGAGGCAAGUUUGUUUAUUUAUCAUAUCCAAAUGAAUGUGGCUAGGGAUGAUUCUUGUUGCGCGAACCACCAAGAGACGGACAAAAUCCUAGGCCUUCAAAAGCUGCGAUCUUGCAGAUCCUUGAGAAAGAGACUCGGAAGUGGGCUUUACCUAAAAAAUGUGCGCGUCCUUCGAGCCCUUCGUGGAACGUGCUGCUUCUUUCUUGGUCAAAAUGAAUCCGCAGUUGGAUUUUUACACAUUUCUUUACUUUGUUUUCGUUAAUUACUAAAUGGCUCUCCUUAGUUGCUCGUCCUCUAUUGCAAAAAUUGUUUUAACAGCUCGUUUGGAGCAUUAUUGCGCGACAUGUAAGGUGAUUGCGACGUUCCAAGGUGCUGUUCUCCUUAAGCUCGCGCGACGAUAUUUUGCUUCGAAUGAAACAUAAAGCGUUUCGGGAAGUGGGACAAUAAAAUAACAUCGGACAUUUGAAUUUAGACGGCUUAAUCAACGUGACGGGGAUUUCAACCGCCCUCGAUUUAUUUAAGGUCUUGAUCCACAUGAUGUUUAGUAGGGGUGUGCAUAGUCUGGAUGGGCGGUUCCCGGCCUAGAAUCGAGAACUGCCUGCUAAGGACCGGAUCCAAACAAAUGGAAUUGGGAAUCAACUGUUGUUGCAUGAAUCUACCCAAGAACCGAACCGCCGGUUCGGUUUGGUUUUCGGGUGGAUCCAUGGAACCAGUCUCACUAAUAAUAAUAUCUCACCAAUAAUAAUAUCAUUUUCUAAAUCCUGCGGUAAAUAUUUUUCAUAUCGAGUAAUAUUUUUCUUUUUCUUUAAAUCGAACUGGCUUAAUUAAGGGUAUCAUUUUAUUUUAUUUUAUUGGAAAACAUUAUAAAAGGAGAGAAAUAUGUUUUUUUUUUCCUAUUUUUGAAUCAUUUUAGUUGAAAUCUAAAUAUUCUUUAAGUUUAAGAUUUUAGAUAAUUGUCAUAUGUAGAUCAUCUUUUUAUUUAUCCUCUAACAAUGUUCAAUCUAUUAUAACAUUUGCUUUACCGAAUUUUUUCUGUAGAAACAAUUUCAUCGGUACUCCACAUAUUCUUGAACAUAAUGUCGUGUGAGUCCCAAAAGUAUCAUGGAGCCAUUUGUUGAGUUGUUGAAAGACAGCUUACACACUUUACUAAAUUCUUAUUAAAACGUGGAUGAAUCCCUAAAAUUUAGAUUUCUAAUUAGUAAUUUCGAAAUUUAUUUUAAUAUUAAAAAUCAAUAUAUUAUUAUAAUAUAAUUAGUUCGGUCUGAGUGGGUGAAUCUACCCAUGGAAUCGGAAACUGGACCGGUUCCUUCAAGAACCACCGGUUCCGAGCGGUUUCGGUCCGGUUUUAGGCGGUUCGGGCUGUUCCGGUUCUUUUACACACCUCUAAUGUUUUAGUCUUGAAAAGUUCUCCACAAAAUAAAUUUCAUUAUCUCACAAAGGAAUCACGCAAAAUCUUUGAUCUUAGAUUUUCGCUGACUUUGAAUACUUGUAACCAUGCAUGUAAAACAAAGCUCACGAAGUGUAUCUGCCCACCGAGAUCCACUACUCCACGAUAGACUGUCCACUUCUGAUCCCUCUUCACUCAGUCAUAGUCCACCACCACUUUGAAACUCCAAAGUCCAAAAGAAAUCCGACCUUUCUUUGGAAAAAUUAUGCAAAAAGUUUUAAAUAUAUUACAAUUUUAUCGAUUUAUUUUUAUACUUUUCAAUUUUACGAAUUGAGAUUUAAACAUUUCGACAUUUUACUAAUUGAGUCUAUUCGGUCAAUUUUAAUUGAAAUUUGUUGACGUGGAUGUCGACCAUCUCACGUGACAUGGCUAGCGUCGAUAUAAACAAAAUUUCUUAAUUUUCAAUUUUUUUUUCGAAUUUUUCAAUUAUUUUUAUUUUUUUAAUUUUUUUUUCUUCUCUCUCCCUCCCUUUUCUUCAUUUGGUUGGUCGCCCAAACUUCGGCGAUUGACAAGGAUCGGCCUCAUCAAGAUCUAACCGCCUCACAAGAGGAUAGUCUCGUAGGCCUCAAGCAACAUUGAUGGCGAGGGUGAGCCUUGAUCCCGGUUGACGAGUCACCCUCGGUGGCCUUCGGCAAGGCUAACCCUUGUUGGCCUUGUCCAAGGUUGGCGAGGUUGCCUCUCGCAAAAUCUUAGCGAGGCCGAUCCUUGCUGGUCGUGGCCUGUGGUCGGUUGUUGAUGGCUGGCCAGAGAAUAAAAAGGGGAAAAAAAGAAAAAAAAAUUAAAAACAUAAAAAAAUUAAAAAAUUAAUAAAAUUUGCUUACUUUAGCAUCGGCCAUACCAUAUAAGACAGUUGACAUUCACGUUAGUAAAUUUCAAUUAAAAUUUAUUGGAUAGACUUAAUUGACAAAAAAUGAAAAUAUUUGUGACUUAAUUAGCAAAAUUGAAAGGUUUAGAAUUAAAGGCAAAUGUGUUAGAAUUUCCUGCACUCUGGAUGCAUUUUUCUGAACAACCUUGCCGGGGUCGAACAUUCGUGUCUGAAUACACGUCGCUUUUUUUGGGAAGGGCCGACCAUGAGUCAAUUGUCAAACAACCUUUUUGGCUUAUGAUCAUGACAUGGCAAAGAGUAAAUUUUUAUUUUAUUUUAUUUUAUUUUAUUAUUAUCAUUGUUCAAAGAACGACGACGCUAAAGAUGGUCAUCGUGGUUUCUAUUUGGCACUUGUCAAAUAUCGAUCUUCUUAUCACGAGCAGAUGCGUGCACACGGGACGAGCGAAGGUGACAUUUUUCAAAACAAUCGUGCAAGGAGAGUAUGAAAGCUGUUGUUCUUGUGUCUGGUUAGUUUGGUCUAAGAUCAGUAAAACCUAGAAAACAUGAAACCCACGAAGUUCGUAAGAUCGAUGUCAACAUGGUCGGGCAUCCGGUGAUCUGCGACCAUGUUAAUCGAUGUUGUGCUUCAUCUUAUGACAGGUUUAAUCCCUAAAUUAAUUGCCGGUCCCAAUUUUAGGACGAAUUUCAGAUUUCCAUCUAGAUAUCGAUUGAAAAUGCCGACCAAGUGCCGAUACACAAAUGGCACUGGUGUUUACAAGGAAUAUAUAAUAUAAAUAAUCGAAGAGGAAUUACAUAAAUGGUUCCUAUACUAUGGCUUGUGUUAAAUUUCGGUCCCUAUACUUUAUUUUGCAACAGAAUCAGUCCGUAACUUGAUUUUAGAUCCCGAUUUCCAGAUAUUUUCCUCCUCAAAUCGAUUUGCUAAUUGAUACAAAUCCUAAUCAGUUACAACGAACAAACCACGUGCGGGGAAACUUACAUUCGUUGUCUUGGCCAGGCUUUCCUCAGGUAUCUAAUGACCUUAUAUUGUUGCCCACCAAUAACACAUUAUCAUAGCUAUUGCCCAUUUAUUACGAAAUAAUCGUUUUAGGAAGGACAAUUUUAGAUUUUCCGGUCCACAUGGGCUGGAUUCUUGCUCGAGUGGUGGCUAUUUACGAGAACCGCCACUAGUUCCUCAAUUUUGCACUAAUUAUAACAUGGGACCGUCACACAUUAAUCUUCAGCACCUAAUCAGCAUUUUCUGUUCACAUAUGGAUGGGAAAAAUACGAAAUUCGUCCGAAAAUCAAGAGUAAAGAAUAGUGCGGGGAACACAUGUGCAACAAUAAUUAAACUAGAAAGGACCGUAAUCGAGCAGGAGCAUUAUGGAGGACAUUUUUAUACUUUCCACUCGACAUUUUAUUUGAUUUUCUCAUGUUGCGUUAGUGCCAGUGUCCGUAGCUGGUGCUUAGUCAGCGUUCCUCGUCGUGGAAAUCGAGCAAAGGCUUGUAGAUUCAGUUCCCGACAUGGAGAGAUCCCCUUUUCGUCUAUAUAUACGUGCACCGCUCGACAGCACCGGUCUCACAUUACCUCGUAUCUGAAAAUCUCCGCUAAGGGAAGGUUUGGUUCGAUGGAUGUGGAGCAUAGCAGAGCCAACUCGGCCGUCGUCCUGGCCCACUCGAACCGAGAAUGCCCCAUCUCCAUCCCCGCUGCCGCUGCAGCCGGCCAACCCCCCCAGCUGCCGCCUUCGCCGGUAUGCGAGAAGUGCAUAUACCCGUGCUUCAAAUUCUCAACGAUCGCCGCCACGGUCUUUGUCUGUAUUCUCUUCGUGGUCAUACCCGCUCUCAUGAUCCCCGACUUCCGGGUCGUACCGGCCUCCUCUUCCGGCUCAUUCAACGUCUCCGCCUCCGUGAUCUCCGUGGGCUGCGACGUUCGCAUCGGGGUUGUGAACCCGAGCAGCUACUUCCGAGUGAACUACACGGGCGUGAGGGCCACGCUCAAGUACGGAGGCAAGCGCUUAUCGGGCGCUUCAUUGGAUCCGUUCGUGCUGGGAAAGGGGAAGCAAGCGACGGUCGCCGCCGUGUUUAAGUCGAACUUGUUGAACAGUAGAAACAGUUGGCAAGCCGUGACUCUGGACUCGAGCGUCUCGAGCGGCGAGGUAAGCGUCGACAUCGACCUGGAGGUCGGCAGGAGAAUAGGGUUGGGCGAGUGGUGGAUUAGUGCGUUUGAUGUGACCAUCUCAUGCAGGGACAUGAUCUUCACGUCCCCGUCCUCGGAGGGCCAGGAUUGGGCGUUGAUCACCCCGUCCGAGCUUUGUGACAUUGGCUUCUUUGGUUAUAUUUAGCAGGAGCAAACUCUGCACGCGAAAAAAUACGAAAAAACCAGAAGAAAAAAGAAAAGAAAAAAUUACAGCGCAUGCAUAAAGCGUCAGUAUAAAGAAAAUUCUGCAUAAAUGAUCCCUAUCCUUCGCUGAUUAGGAAAUCAGCAUUUCGAAGGAUGCAUGACUUCGCUUGAACAUCCGACGCAACUUUAGCUCAUGUGCAUGAUGCAUAAGAGAUGCAUCUAGCAGCGUCCUCAUCAAAAGAGUUGUCGACGGGAUGAAGUUUGAUCCGUCUGUGUCCGUCUGUGUCUGUUGUCCGUAUGAUUCUAUGGAUCUGGAUACUGUCGGGUACUUGACUCGGUUUUAAGACAUUCAGAUCGUGACCCAUCACCUCUAAAAAUUCGAUAGGUUGCCGAAAUGAAGUUGCAGGUGGAUUCACCCCGAUCUCAGGACGCAAAGCGAGUCAGGUCAUUUGUACAUAGUACGUAUAUGGAAGAUCUCUAGAUUUCCUUGUUUAGGAACUGCAGUUGCGUACAUAUUUAGCAGUAUCUUUUGAUUUGACAAGAAAUGUAAAAUUUAGUUACGUGUGAUUGCUAGGAUUUGACUCUCCUCGUGCCGAUGAUGGUAACUAAGAUUGGUAGGAGUUGACUCUCCUGAUAUCGAUGAUUUUAACUUAUAAAUAUGAAUGGAUUGUUCAUGGUGUUUCACUAGAAUCUAAUCGACGACAAAAUAUCUUUUUCAAGAGUUGUUCUUCGACUUUUGAUGAAAGGAAAUGGGUUUUGUAGCGACUCCGCAUAGGAAAUAUUCAGGCGGACAAGAAAUAGCUGCAACUCUUUAUUUGGAAUUUCAAACCAAAUUGUACAUACAAAUUUAGUUAACAACAAGGUUUGAAAAUACAAUCAUUUCCAUAAUAAUACAAGUGCACAAACUGUGUUAAAUUAAUAUCUUGAGUUUGAAUUUAGAUGUUAAUUUAUUAGCCAAAUUUGUUGAGAAAGAUUUUUUUGGACGGAUUUAAAUCUCACGAACGGAAGAUGCCUUCAACAAGAGGUGAAAUUGCAAGCUAGAAGACAAAAUAUUGGGAUUCUAUAUAGAUGCACAAAGGAGGAAAUAAAUAGAAAGAAAAAGCAAGAUUUUUUAUAUGUACACGGUGGGUCCAGAGUCAAAUUGUUGACUCUAGGGACACUCACGUAUAAAGAAAAAAUGUGAGGAUUUCUUUCUUUUACCUGCAGAAGAAGCCUAGUUCACGUUGAAGAUUUAAGUCAGUGGGCUAGGUCAAUUUUUUGACCUUAGGCACACAUAAAAAGCAGAAUGCGUUCUUUCUUCAAGAGGAGCCGCAAGACUUGAGAGCCGCAUGAGAAAGACGUCCAGAAAGAAGCCACACAAAGCCUUGAAUAAGAACACAAAGCCGUACGUAUGUGGACCAAAGAUGAACGCUGGAGUUCUUGAUUUUGGUGUAUGUAGAGCAUUUUUUUUUUGAGCUUGAAUGCGUGGUAAUUUUUGUGCCGUGAGUUUACGUCCAAAUGAAUUAUUUAUUUAUAAACACUUUGGAUUUUGGUUUAAAUUUAGGUGCGGGAAACACUCAAGUGUGUAAGCGAUUGUAAACUCUAAUUCUCUAAUUAUAGUGGAUUAUUUGCUGCUGGCUCUCUCCGUGAAUGUAGGUACCGAUAUUCGGAUCGAAUCACGUAAAUUUCUAAUGUCAUUAUUAUUUCUCUGGUGAUUUUGCGUUGAUGUAAAUUGCAAGAUCUUGUCAUUUUCACCUAUUAUAUUCCAACAAUUGGUGUAAGAGCUUGGGAUUAGAUUUCUUGAUUAUGAUUUGGAGUUUUUGCUUUUCUGAUUAUUAUAUGGAAAUUUUAUUAUUGCAAUUAUGUCUUAGAGGAAAUUUGAAAUUAAGAAAUUUAACGAGAGGAACAACUUUGGAUUAUGGAGUAUCAAGAUGCGAGCGUUAUUGAUAACCCAAGGUUUGGCCAAGGCACUUGAUGGUGAAAAUGAGUUGCCAAUUAUAAUGAAAGCCUCUGAGAGGGUAGAGUAAAUGGAAAAAGCAAGGAACACAAUUGUGUUAAACUUGUUAGAUGAGGUUUUAAUAGAAGUUGCAAAGGAAAAGGAUGCCGCAGCAUCAUGGGCAAAAACUUCAGGCACUCUAUGUAGAGUAAGGUUUGAAUAAUCGCUUGUACAUGUUGAAAAUGAUGUUUCACUUUAGAUAUACUAAAGGCACGUCUAUUAGAACCCACCUGGAUGAAUUCAAUAAACUUAUGAUGGAUUUGAAGAAUGUUGGUAAGAUACUUGAUGAUGAAGAAUAUGACAUGAUGUUGUUAGCUUCUUUACCAUAGUUAUGUGAGCACUUUACUGAUUCACUGUUAUAGGGACAUACUACAAUUAUUUCAGAAGAGGUAAAGUCCGUCUUGUCUCUAAAGAGUGGUAGAGAAAGUUGCGAGUGAUGAUCUGGCGUAGAGAUUAGUGCAAGCACCGAUGAUUCGGGAUAGAGAACAACAUCGAUGACCUAGUAGCAGCACAUCAUAGAAAGUCUAAGGGACACGUGAAGUGCUUUGAGUGUCAUGAGUAGGGGCACAUCAAGAGAGAUUGUUCAAAAUGGAGGAAUAAAUGUGAUAGGUAGAAUGCCACAAGCAAUGUGGCAAACAUUGCUGAGGGGAGCACUAGUGAUACAGAAGCUGUUUUAUGUGUGAUUACUAUUUCGUCAGGAGACGAAUGGGUGCUAGAUUCGGGGUGUUCUUAUCAUAUGAUGCCUCAUAAGAACUAGUUUAUUACUUACCAGACUAUAGAUGGUGGUAGUGUUUUUUUGGGGAAUAAUGUAGCUUGCAAGGCUGUGGGGAUAGGGAUAAUUCAGAUUUGGAUGCAGAAUGGGGUGGUGCGCACAUUGACAGAUGUGAGGCAUGUAUUGGAGCUCAAGAAAAACCUUAUUUCUCUGGGGACACUCGAUGACAUCGGGUGUAGGUACAUUACUAAAGGUGGAGUACCAAAGAUCUCUUGAGGUGCCAUGACAGUGAUGAAGGGGAAUAAAGUGAAUAGUCUAUCAUCUAUUGGGAGAGAUUGUGACCAAAACUUCUGUAGUUUCAUCAGGUGAGUCAAAUUCUGACUUAACUCAAUUAUGGCAUAUGCGUUUAGGGCACAUGAGUGAGACAAAUAUGAUGAUGCUAAGUGAAAGAGGGUUGUUGAAGGGUCAAAAGACAAGAAAGUUAGACUUUUGUGAGCACUGCAUCUUUGGGAAGCAGCAUCGAGUUAAGUUUAUUAUAGUUGUUUAUUUGACCAGAUGACCAAUUGAAUAUAUUCAUUUAGACGUUCGGGGCCUGUCUUUGAUUCCUUUGAAAGGAGGUGCUCGAUAUAUGCUGACAUUUAUCGACAACUAUUCAAGGAAGGUAUGUGUAUACUUUCUAAAGCACAAAUAUGAAGUGUUCGAUUGAUUCAAGAAAUUUAAGGCAUUGAUUGAGAAGUAGUCAGAUAAACAUAUCAAAUACCUGAGAAUCGAUAAUGACAUGGAGUUCUGUGAUAAGUAUUUUACCGAGUUCUGCGAGAAAGAAUGUAUUGUGAGAUACUGCAUAAUACCUGGGAUACCACAGUAGAAUGGCGUGGCAGAACGGAAGAACGGAACUUUACUUGAGUGAGCUCGAUGCAUGCUUUCGCAUGCAGGACUUGGCAAUGAAUUUUAGGUCGAAGCAAUAAACAUGGCAUAUUACUUGAUUAAUCGAUCUCCACCAUCUACUAUCGAGUGGAAAGCUUUUGAGGAAGUAUGGUUGGGGAAACAUGUUGAUUACUUCGGAUUACGUAUAUUUGGAUGUUUAGCGUAUGCUUAUGCGAGUAAUGGUAAGCUUGAGCCGAGGGCAAAGAAGUACAUAAUUUUGAGUUAUGCAUAUAGGGUGAAAGGCUACCGGCUGUGGUGCACUAAUCCUGGAUCACCCGAUUUUCUAAUUAGCAGAGACAUGAUCUUUGACAAGACUGCGAUGCUUUAACAGAGGAGUUCUGUAACACAACCAGCAAAGCAGAUAGAUCAUGGUGUCAUUAGUGAGGUGGAGCUUUAGAUGGAGACUUCAAAGACCUCGAAGGUAAUGGAAGUUGAGACUACAGAUGAGGUUGCAGUUCUUGAAAUCGGUAAUAGUGAACAACCAGUAAAGCCACAACACACUAUAGCCGUAGAAAGAUAGAGAAGACAAAUUAAAUCAUAUGUACAUUAUGGUUAUAUAGAUAUUGCUUAUGAAGUAACUGUAGGUGAUGAGGUGGAGACAAAUAAGCCUUCGUCUUACUUUAAGACGAUGAUUAGUUCGAAGUCGUAGUGGCUAGGAGCUAUGAGUGAAGAGAUGAAAUCACUCCAUCAUAAUUAGAUAUAGGAGUUGGUCAAAGUACCCAAGAGCCAAAAGAUUGUUGGAAGUAAAUGGGUCUUUAAAUGAAAAGAGGGCAUUCUCGGUGUCGAGACAAUGAGGUAAAAUGCAAGACUUGUGGCGAAAUGGUAUAUAUAAUGUGAGGGCAUUGACUACAGUGAGGUGUUCUCUCUUGUGGUAAGACAUACUUCUAUUCGUGUGUUACUUGCCUUAGGUGCUUCGCAGGAUAUUGAGUCAGAGCAGUUAGAUGUGAAAACUGUAUAUUUUCAUGGUGAGUUGGAGGAGCAAAUUUAUAUAAGGUAGCUAGAGGAAUUUGUUAUUUCGGGUAAGGAAGAUCAUGUUUAUUUGUUGAAGAAAUCUUUGUAUAGAUUGAAAUAGUCUCAUUGAUAGUGGCAUAAACGUUUUAAUGCUUUCAUGACUAGUCAAGACUAUUCAAAAAGUCAUAUGGAUAGCUGUGUCUACUUUAGGAGAUUGGAGAAUGGUUAUUUGAUUUAUCUACUUUUAUAUGUUGAUGAUAUGCUAAUAGCAACUAAAAAUAUGCCUGAUAUUGAUGUGCUGAAGAUGUAGUUAAAUGCUGAAUUUGAGAUGAAAGAUUUUGGUGCUGCAAAGAAAAUAUUGGGUAUGGAGAUUUUGCGUGAUAGGAUUACAAGAGUUUUAUGUCUAUCUUAAAAGAAAUAUAUUGAGAAGAUCGUGGCACGUUAUAAUAUACAAUCAACAAAAUCUGUAAGUACACCUUUAGCGAAGCACUUUAAAUAUUCAGAUAAAUUAUCACCGCAGAUUGAGAACGAGAAGCAUAUGUCCCGUGAUCCUUAUUCUAGUGCCGUGGGUAGUAUUACAUAUGAUAUGGUAUGUACUAAGCUUGAUAUUUCACAAGUUGUGAGUGUAGUUAGUUGCUAUAUGAAGCAUCCUAGUAAAACUCACUGGAAAGCUGUUAAGUGGAUCAUCAGAUAUUUGAAGGGGACAACAGACGUGUGUAUAGUGUAUCGGAGGAACAACAAUGGUAGUGAGACCACUAGUUUUGUGGAUUCUGAUCAUGCCGGUGACUUGGAUGAUUGCACAUUUUUAGCAAGGUACAUGUUUAUUCUAACAUGUGGUGCAGUUAAUUGGAAAGAGUCCUUACAAGAUUACGUUGUCUGUCUUCGACUGAGGCAAAGUAUAUGGCAUUAACUUUUAUAGUGAAUGAGGCGAUAUAGUUACCGAGUUUGCUCUUGAACUUUGGGCUAGAACAAAAAAGUGUGGAUAUACACUAUGAUAACCAAUGUGUGAUAUAUUUGGCAUAUAAUCUAGUUUAUCACAAGCGAACGAAGCAUGUCAACAUUAGGUUUCACUUCAGCUGAGAUGUCUUAGCUAAGAGUAAUGUUAUUGUCAAAAAUAUUGCUACAGCAGAAAAUCCGACAAACAUAAUGACUAAGUCUGUUUUUUUGGCGAAACUCAAGUUUUACUUGAGCUUUAUUGGCGUCUGUGGAGAGUGAGCAUUCGUCGGGGCGUUGGGAGAGCAAUAUGGAUGAUGAGUACUAUAAAUUGGCUUCAAAAUAUCAAGCCAAUGUGGAAAAUUGUUAAAUUAAGUCUCGAGUUUGAAUUUGGAUAUUGAUUUGUAAGCCGAAUUUGUUGAGGAAGAUUUUCUUGGACGGAUUUAAAUCUCACGCAUGGAAUAUGUCUUCAACAUGAGGUGAAAUAUUGCAAGCUAAAGACAAAAUAUUGGGAUUCUUUAUAAAUGCAUAAAGGAGGAAAUAAAUAGAAAGAAAAAAACAAGGUUUUCUAUCUUUUACCUUGCAGAAGAUUCAUUUUGGGGGAUGUACAAGGUGGGGCCCAAAGUCAAAUUGUUGACUCUAGGCAUGCUCACGUAUAAAGAAAAAAGGUGAGGUUUUCUUUCUUUUACCUGCAGAAGAAGCCUAGUUCACGUUGAAGAUUUAAGUCCGUGGGCCUAGGUCAAAUUUUUGACGUACACAUAUAAAAAGCAGAAUGUGCUCUUUCUUCAAGAGGAGCCACAGGACUUGAGAGCCGCAUGAGAAAGACGUCUAGAAAGAAGUUACGCGAAGCCUUGAACAGGAACACGAAGCCAUACGUACGUGGACCAAAGACGAAUGAUGGAGUUCUUGAUUUUCGCGUACGUAGAGCGUUUUUGUUUUGAGCUUGAACACGUGGUAAUUUUUAUGCCGUGAGUUUAUGUCUAAGUGAGUUGUUUAUUUAUAAACACUUUAGGUUUUGAUUUAAAUUUAGGCGUGAGAAACACUUGUGUAAGCAAUUGUAAAUUCUGAUUCUUCAAUUAUAAUGGAUUAUUUGCUGCUAGCUUUUCUCGUGGACGUAGGUACCGAUACUCGGAUCAAACCAUGUAAAUUUUUGGUGUCUUUAUUAUUUCUCUAGUGAUUUUGAGUUGACGUAAAUUGCAAAAUCUUGUCGUUUUCGCCUAUUAUAUCCCAACAAAUUGUGUUGGAAUUUAAUCGGUGACAAAACUCGAGAACAUGCAAAGAUGUAAUGCCAAAAUUUAAUCAAUGGCACGAAACCCAUAAUAGAGAUGCACGUUGGAAUUGAAUUGACAAUGAAGCAUUGGAAUAAAGAUAUGCACCAUAAUUUAAUCGAAGACAUGAAUUGGAAAGCUAUAACUAAGGAAAAAUAAAGUGCAGAAAAGUAAAGACAAUAAAAUAUUACAUUUUGUUUGUCCAGGAUCUCUCCCAUUGAUGAGAAUUUAGUAUUUAUAGACCUUUCAUUACAACCGUUCGGAAGGAAUUCCUUCAUGGUUGUAACUGUAGCCACACACUUCCGAAAAUAAUGGUCCAUGUUCCCCAUGUUGUCCAUUCUCUUCUUCAAAUAGUUGUCCGUCAAAAUAGUGGCCAUGAUCUCCCCAUGUUCAUUUCCCGUUUGUAAUUGUUCUCCACGCCCUGAGCUUUGUAACUGUUGUCCUUCAAAAUAGCGGCCAUGAUCUCCCAUGUUCACUUCCUGUUUGUAAUUGUUCUCCACUCCCCGGGCCUUGUAAUUGCUCAGUUGUCAAUCUCUCCACGUUGGUCAACUAUCAUCCACAAUCUCCCUUAGUGGGUCUUCACAUGCAUGAGCCUUGGUGCAAUUCUCUAAAUGGAUUAUCUUGCUUCUCAGUUAAGAUGCUUGUCGACACUCCUCAGUUAAGAUGCUCAUAGACAACUUGGGCAAAAUAAUCUGCAAUCAUUUGCCACUUGUCGAUAUGUGCCAACAUUUAGACCCAAACCAUCAAAUAGCAUGCGAUAUCGACCAAUAUUCAAUACAUUCAAUUGGCUUCCUUCACGGAUGAUCAAAUAUGCCCUGAUAGGAUAUUCUCCACUCUCUUCCUGUUUUCUUCGUUAAUUUUGAUGAUUGCAUAUGAGGUUGUCGAUUUCACCUUUAUUGCUUUCGAAUGAUCAUCGUAUAUCGAUAAUAACUAAAUAUCAAGCACUUUUGGGUGUCAACACAUGGUAUGAUGGUUUGUUUCAAAUUAUUGAGAUUUCUCUCUAAUUCUCCAAGGGACUUAUCCCUUGUAAUCUGGUCUUCUCCAGGAUCUUCAGACAAAUGAGAGGGCUCGCUAUUAACACCGCCAUAUAAUAGACUUUACACAUGCGAUUGCUGAUCUUUUUUUUAUUUUAUGUUAUAUAUGGUAUUGUAGAUUUCAUCAGUUGCACUGUAUUUAGCUUAAAGUUUUGAACUAUUGUCUUUAAUGCGAUGCGAAAGACGGGAUAACAAAUACUCUAUACUCCAAUUAAUCCAUCAAUUGGUGAGUGAAUUCCUUGGUUCUGAUUUACAUGUAAGAGGUCAUACACAGUGGUUAUUUAUAUAAUUUUUUUCUUGUUAUUCGCGACUAACUUGUAUACUAUCACACAUUUCAUAUAUACAAGAUUUACAACGGUCUUAUAACACAAGUUCUCUCUCUCUCUAGCUUAAACUUUAGGUGGAACUUUCUUUAUGAGGAUUGAAACUCGAUCUGAAAACUUUGUUCAUUCAAAUCUUUCAUAAUAAGAUGGUGUGGCGGAUCGUGUCCCCCGACUUACCCUUCUCUACAUUGUGUCAUAGAUCAUUUGCAUUGGGAGCUUGUGUAGUUUUCGCCAGCAGAUCAACAUAUUUUGGUGUUGCUCCCUGAGUUUAAGUUUUGUCAGUUAAGGGUAUAUUUAGUAAUGUACCAGAUAGUGUCUAUUUCUAUUCUUUUGUUAUUCGGAACUAAAAAGAACAAAAUGCGUUCAGUAACGUUUUUGUUCAUACGACCAUAUUUGUUCCCUGAAAUAGAUUUGGAAUAUAAUCAAUUAGUAAAAGGAAAUUACUUCUUUUUUCUUAGGAACAAUUCUAGAAUCAAGCCUUUUCUUUUCGUCUUUUCCUUCUUCUUCUUCCUCUAGUUGAUCAUUGGCCCUCGGUGAGGCCGAGCUCGUUCAGCCAUCAGUGAGGCCAAGCUCUUCUAGCCACCGGUGAGGCUUGACCUUGCCCACUUGCCCAACCACAAUGAGCUCGCUGGCCCUCGUCUGGCCAGUUGCUAGCCAUUGUUGAGGCCGGUGAGCAGUUAGAGGAGGAAGAAGAAGAAAAGGAGAAAAGAAAAGAAAAAAAGAGAAAAGUGUAACAAAAUUAUUAAAAAAUUAAAAGAAAUUUUAAGUUUAAAAAAAAUUUGAGGUCCUACCAAAGACAUUUUUAUUCUGGGAAUAGAAAUUUUAUGCAGUUACUAAAUACCUUUGAAUGCUCAGAAACUCAUCUAGGGAACAGAACAAGAAAAUAUCAUUUCUGACCAGAAAUUAUUCUCGUGGAUAGAAUUGUUACCAAAUGCACUCUAAAUCAUAUUUAUCAAAUAGUUUAGGUGGGUAGGAUGAAGACUAAAUUAGACAUGAACAUUUUAUUGAUUGUCCUCAACGUUAAUCAUGCAGGGAGAUACUUGUUCUCUAAGGCAUGCUUUUAUGCGGACAAGUAAUGGAAUGCUAUUUUAUCUUUCUGUAUGUACUUUAUGUCGUACAUAAGAUCUUUUCAUGUGUUAUUAGUAUGCUUCUCUAUGACUAGCUUACUCUAUAUUGGAGUUUUCUGGUAUCUAAACUGAUGUUGGUACAAAUCUCUCUGUUCUUGCCUGUCUACUAGUGUUUCCAAUUUUCAUAUUACCCAUGUGCAUCAUAAUCUUGUUUUUCUCUCAGAAAAUUAUCCAUGCGCUUUCUCCUACUCCGGCAUCUACCAUGUCUUCCUCUGAGAUUAGCAUGAAACCUCCAAACACAACCUUGUCUCCAUUUACAGCAUCAGAGAAAACUGCUGGUGCAAAGGAAGCAGGAAAGAGGACUGCCGAUGACACUAAUGACGCACAAUAUUGGAGAUAUGUUGUUUCCCAAAAACGUCAGAAUUUGUCUUCUGGAUCUUGUCCACGAGGUGAAAAAUGCAACUACCGACAUGAUAUAGAUGCAAGGGAGCAAUACCGAAGAGGGCUUUGUUUUGAUUUUCUUGACAAAGGGAAAUGUGAAAGAGGUCCUGACUGCCUUUACCAAAAAAAAAAAAAGAGGUCCUGACUGCAACUUUAAGCACAGUUUGCAGGAGGAAGAGGAAAGUGGUUCUCGAAAUGGAAAUGGGUCUAGAGGUGCUCAAUGGGUGCCUUCUGUUUUUUUGCUAAUAGUUUACAUUGGUUCUAGUGGAAUGAAAUUUUUGACCACUGCUUAUGAAUCCAUUUUAAGCAGAGUCUGUGAUUGAAAUUCAGUCAAAAGAAUGCUGGUUUCGUUUAUCGAGCCACGAGUCUCAUCUGAUCAUCAGUGUAGGAGAAAGAUACUACCGUGCGCUGCCCAAGCGGCCAUUAGUUGAAGACCACGGGCUGAUAAUACCUAUCGAGCAUCUACCAAAUACUCUUUCUUUGCCUCCAGAAAAAGAAACAGAGCUUGACAGAUUCCAGAACUGCUUGAAGAUGUAUCACAAAAACCAGCAGAAGGAAGAUGUUUUCUUUGAGUGGGUUUCCAAACGUGGGACUCAUGCUAAUCUUCAGGUAUUGUCAUAGUACAAAGAAAAUUUAUAACAUCUUGCUCAUGGUAUUACUUUAUUUUCUUCAUCCAUCUUGUCAUUUUAUCUCUCUAAGUGCCAGUCAGUCACUUUCUUAUUCUCAAUAGUUUGAUUGCAUUGCCUGCAGGCUAUUCCUGUUCCAUCAUCUAGAGAAGCUGCUCUUCAGAGUAUGUAUUUGGUUUGGCUGCGGAGAAGUUGGGGUUUAAACUUAACUCCUUGAGUAAGUUAAAUUUGUCAUUUCUCCUGUUUUUUUUGGAGUUCUAUAAUGGGAUAAGAAAAUUCAGUAACUACGGUCCUUAAUCCUUGAGAUCAUACUAUAAUGCACUUUUUGGGCUUACAGGCAACAAAUUUAUGUUCCCUUUGCUCUAGUAGUCAUUAUGUGAAUUCUUUAUUUAUGUUUUACUGCAUAGAGUCAUUGGCUACAAUGGACAAUUGAAAGUUUACAGUUGCUUACUAGUGUCUUGGUACCAUAUAGUUCCAAUGUGAGAAAUUAAUGCUCUGGUAUUGACUUAUUGAUCUGCCUUGUGUGUGAUAUUUUUGUCACCUAUGCUGGGAGUGGCUAAGGCAUUGAUGGUUCAUGAGAAUGUUCUAGUUUUCUUUGAAUGAACACAAACUGUUUUGUGUGUUGAUUCAACUGCAUAUAUCGUAUUUAUAUUGUGCUUCUCUUGAUUUAGGCAUUGAUGGUCGAAAAAUGUUGAGAACGGGGUUUGACAGGAAAUCUAGAAGGAACUGUACUAUCAUAGUAGAGGGAGUUGUUUAUUCAUCAUUUGCAAAUGAGUGUGGCUAGGAAUGCUUCUUGUUGCGCGAACCACCAAGGGACGGACAAAAUCUGAGGACUUCAAAAGCUGCUUAGGAGCCAAUCUUGCAGAUCCUUGAGAAAGAGACUUGGAAGUCUGCUGCUUCUUUCUUGAUCAAAAUGAAUCGGCAGUUGGAUUUUUACAUAUUUCUUCAAUUUUUUUUACUAGUUAGUCGAUGCCCUUUCUUAGUUGCUUGUCUAUUCAUAAAAAGGUGCCAAAAUUGUUAAACAGCUCGUCUUGAGCGUUAGGGCGCAUUUUGUAACGUUUCCGUUUCGAGGAACAAUUUUUUAAAAGAAAUAGUUUUUUUUUUCUUGGGAACAAUUUCAAAAUAUAAGAACACACUUGGUAACUGCAAAAAAUUUUUAUUUCAGGAAUAGAAAUGCGUUUGAUAAACUUAUAUAAUUUUUUUUAUUUCUUUUAAUUUUUCAAUAUUUUUCAUUUUUUUCUUCUUUCUUUUUUCUUUAUUUUUUUUCCUUCUUUCUCCUUUGUGGUUGGUCGCUGACCAUGGCGGCAGCUGGCGAUCAGCUGGGUGAGGUCCGACGAGUUCGUCGGAACCUCACCAGGCCAUCGUGAGGGCCGGUGAGUCGCUGGAGCCUCGCUAGUGGCCUGGCGAGGCUCGACCUUGCCUAGGCGGCGCGAGGUUGGCCUCGCCUUGGCUUGGUGAGGUCGAGCCUCGUGCCAGCCUACGAGGCUUGGUCUCACCUUGGUUGAGCAAGCUCGAGCUUGCCUAGAUUUGGCGAGGUCGGGCUCGCCCAGCCACCGGCGAGGCUUGACCUCGCCGGGCCACCAUUGGGCGACUCCGACCUGGCGGUGGCUUGGUGAGGCUCGGCGUCGCCGGCCAUGGCCGAGGCUAGCGACCGGCCAAAAGGAAGAAAAAGGAAAGAAAAGAGAAGAAGAAAAAAGAGAAGAAAAAAGAAGAGAGAGAAAUUGUUUCUCAAAAUUGUUCCCGGGAAUAAGAAACAAUUUUUUCUACUUUUUGUUUCUGUUUCAAAUUUGUUUCCGAAAACAAAAAUAUGGAUUUUUUGUUUCCGGAAACAAAAGUUUUACCAAACACUUUUCUGUUCUUUUUUUGUUCCCGCAACAAAAGAACAUAAAUUUUUGUUCUGGGAACAGAAAUACUUUUUAACAAAUAGGCCCUUAGUGCGCGACAGGUAAGGCGAUUGCGAUGUUCCCAGGUGCUGUUCUUCUCAAGCUCAUGCCACGGUGUUGUGCUUCUCACGAAACAUAAAGUGCUUCUAAAAUCGGAACCAUUGAAUGAAUUGGACAUGGAUUUAUCGAUCUGACCGGUUCGGUAGGGAGAGCAGUGCAAGAUUUCAUUAUAUAGAUCAAGCGUGCAAAAGAGAUUACAAUUACAAUCACAUUCCAGUCAUCUAAACUCUUGAUAUUUUCCAGGCUCUAUUUACACUAAAUAAUUCAUGUGAUAUAUAAUCAUCACAAUUUCUCUACCAAAUAAAGUUUCUGUCUCGUGAAGCGAUUAUGCAAAACCUUUGACACAAGAUUUCCACGACUUUGAAUAUAAGUGACCAGUUCCCUCCGACGAAAUCUCCGUAGGGACUCGGGAGUGCUCUAAUUUGGGCGGUAAAACAGAGCUCGCGAAGUGCGUCUACCCACCAAGUACAACUCCAAGAUAGACUGUUCACUUUCUUAUUCCUCUUUUCAUAAGGUCAAAUUGCAACUCCACUUCGAACUCCAAAAGUCCAAAAGAAGUCGGACCUGAAUUUCUCGCACUUCGGAUGCACGCCGCCGAACGCAACGUUGUUGGGGGGUGAAUAUUCCUGUCCGCACACACGUCGCUGUUGUGAUCGUGACAUGGCGAAGGCCGAAUUCCUAUUUGGAAUCGUCGUUCAAGAACGGCGAACCCACUAAAGAUGGUUAUCGUGGUUUCUAUUUGUUGCUCGACAAUAUCGAUCUUCUUGUCACGAGCAGAUACGUGCACAUGGGAGGAACAAAGGUGACAUUUUGUUUUUUGAAAUAAUCGAUAUGCUAAGUAAUUCAAAUCCUAAUCAAUUACGACGAACUAAACAUACGCAGGGAAACUUGCAUGCGCUGUCUUGGUCAGGCUUUCUUAAGGUAUCUAAUGACCUUAUAUGUUUGCACACCACAAACGUGUUAUCAUAGCUAUUGCCCAUUUAUUACGAAAUAAUUGUUUUAGGGGGUACAAAACUUAAACUAGAAAGAUAAAACUUCACCAAAAAAGAAAAAAAAAAAAACUUAAACUAGAAAGGACGUAAAUCUAGCAGGAGCAUUAUAGCGGCCAAUUUUGUAAUUCCCACUCAACAUUUUAUUUGUUCAUGUUGCGUUAGUGCCAUAGUGUCCGUAGCUGGUGCUUAGUCAGCAUCUUUCGUGGAACUCGAGCAAAAGCUUGUAGAUUCAGUACCCGAUAUGGACAGAGAGAUCCCCGUUUGGCCUAUAUAUACGUGCGCCACCCGACAACAACGGUCUCCCCUUACCUCGUAUGAAGGUUUUCUUCGAUGGAUGUGGAACAGAGCAGAGCCAACUCGGCCGUCGUCCUGGCCCACUCGAACCAAGAAUACCCCAUCUCCGUCCCCACUGCCGCAGCCGCGCCCCCCCCCCCCCCCCCCCCCCAGCUGCCAGCGUCGCCGUUAUGCGAGAAGUAUAUAUACCCAUGCUUCAAAUUCUUGACGAUCGCCGUCACGGUCUUCGUCUGCACUCUCUUCGUGAACCUUACUCUAAUGCUGAUGUUGUUCAUGUCACUCGCUUUAUCGGUCUUGCUCCUGUUGGAAACAAAGAAAAACAGGUCACUUACCCUUCUGUACUUUGUGUCAUAGAUCAUUUACAUUUGGGGACAUGUAACUCUAGUCUCCGCCUGGCAGAUCAACAUAUUUUGGUGUUGCUUCUUAAGUUUAAGUUUUGUAGUUAAAUUAUGUUUAUCAAAUACUUUAGGUAGGUAGGAUGUAGACUGAGUUAGACAUGAACAUUUUAUUUGAUUGUCCUCAAUGUUUAUCAUGCAGUGAGAUACUUGUUCACUAAGGCAUGCUUUUAUGCAUACAAGUAAUGGAAUGGCGGCUGUUUUCUCUUUCUGUAUAUACUUUAUGUUGUAGAUAAGAUAUUUUCAUGUGUUAAUAGUAUGCUUCUUUGUGACUAGCUUACUCAAUAUUGAAGUUAUCUGUUAUCUAAACUGCUUUUAGUAUAAAUAUCUCUCUGUUCUUGUCUAUCCACAAGUGUUUCCAAUUUCCAUUCUGCCCGUGUGCAUCAUAAUCUUGUUUUUCUCACAGAAAUUUAUCCAUGCAUUUUCUCCUACUCCGGCAUCUACCAUGUCUUCCUCUGAGAUUAGCAUGAAACCUCCCACCACAACCUUGUCUCCGUUUACAGCAGUAGAGAAAACUGCUGGUGCAAAGGAAGCAGGAAGGAGGAUUGCCAAUGAUACUAAUGACGCACUAUAUUGGACAUACGAUGUUUCCCAAAAACGUCAGAAGCAUGCGGUUGGUGACGGUGAUAAGCUAUGCUUUAAGUAUGUCUUCUGGGUCUUGUCCACGAGGUGAAAAAUGCAACUUCCGACAUGAUUUAGAUGCAAGGGAGCAAUACCGAAGAGGGGUUUGUUUUGAUUUUCUUAACAAAGGGCAAUGUGAAAGGGGUCCUGACUGCAACUUUAAGCACAGUUUGCAGGAGGAAGAGGAAAGUGGUUCUCGAAAUGGAAAUAGGUCUUGAGGUGCUAGUGUUAAUAGGUCAGUUUCCUCAAUGGGCACCUUUUGUUUUUUUUGCUAAUAAUUUACAUUGGUUCUAGUGGAAUGAAAUUUUCGAUCACUGCUUAUGAAUCCAUUUUAGGACAGUUUGUAACUGAAAUUCAGGUCAAAAGAAUGCUGGUUUUGUUUAUCGAGCCCCAAUGUGGAGUCUCAUCUGAUCAUCAGUGUAGGAGAAAGAUAAUACUGUGCGCUGCCCAAGGGACCAUUAGUUGAAGAUCACGUGCUGAUAAUACCUAUCGAGCAUCUACCAAAUACUCUUUCUUUGCCUCCAGAAAAUGAAACAGAGCUUAAUAGAUUCCAGAACUCCCUGAAGUUGUAUCACAAGAACCAACGGAAGGAAUUUGUUUUCUUUGAGUGGGUUUCCAAACGUGGAACUCAUGCUACUCUUCAGGUAUUGUCAUAGUGCAAAGAAAAUUUAUAACAUGUUGCUCAUGAUAUUACUUUAUCUUCUUCAUCCAUCUUGUCAUUUUAUCUCUCUAAGUGCCAGCCAGUCACUUUCUUAUUCUCAAUAGUUUGGUUGCAUUGCCUGCAGGCUAUUCUUGUUCCAUCAUCUAGAGCAGCUGCUCUUCAGAGCAUAUUUAGUUUGGCUGCGGAGAAGUUGGGAUUUAAAUUUAACUCCUUGAGUAAGUCAAAUUUGUCAUCUCUCUUUUUUUUUUGGAGUUCCAUAAUAGGACAAGAAAAUUCAGUGACUAUGGUCCUUAAUCCUUGAGAUCAUGCCAUAAUGCACUUUUGGGGCUUACAGACAACAAAUUUAUGUUUCCUUUGCUCUAGUAGUCACUAGAAGAAAUCCUUAUUUAUGUUUUACUGCAUAGAAUCAUUGGCUACAGUGGACAAUUGAAAGUUUACAGUUGCUUGUCAGUGUCUUGGAGCCAUAUAGCUCCCAGCGUGAGAAAUUAAUGCUCUGGUAUUGACUUAUUGAUCUGCCUUGUGUGUGAGAUUUUUGUCACCUAUGCUGGGAGUGGCUCAGGCGUUGAUGGUUCAUGAGAAUGUUCUGGUUUUCUUUGAAUGAAUACAAACUGUUUUGUCUGUUGAUUCAACUGCAUAUAUCGUAUUCAUAUUGUGCUUCUCUUGAUUUAGGGACUGAUGGUAGAAAAAUGUUGAGAAUGGAGUUUGACGGUAAAUCUAGUCUCUUUUAUGUGGAAUUACCUGAAGGAACUGUACUAUCACAUAUAGUGGAGGACAACGAGAACUUUCCUGCUCAAUUUGGACGUGAGGUAAUCCAUCUGGCGUUCUUAGUCUAUUUGCUUCGACUGGUUUUCAUCUAGGAUUAAGUUAUUGCUUCUGAGUUUAGUUUGGUUUUUCAGUUAUGGAAGAUGGUAUUAAUUCUGUCCUUACAUAUGGUCGGUGACGGAUGUCACUGUAGUCUAAGCACGUAACAUGAUGCCUGUGAAACUUUGCAGGUGGUGGCAGGUUUGUUGAACGUGGCAGAUAAGGCUGAUUGGAGGAAUUGCGCACUAAGCAAAGAAGAAGAGAUUAAAUUGGCAGAGGAUUUCAAGCGCCGAUUCGCAGCAUUUGACCCCAAUACAUGAUUGUCGCACUGAGGGUCAACCACAGUACGCGUCUUCCGUCUUUCCCUUAUUAUAAUGACCUUGGAAUUCCAAGACAACCUCGGGGGGGUGUUCUGCAAGAACCGACAAAAGAAAACAUUCACGAAGUCGAUUCUUGCUGGGCCACGGCCAUCAGGUCUCGAGCAUGCAGAGGCGAGUUUUUUUUUUUUUUUUCUCAUUUCCAAAUGAAUGUGGCUAGGAUGAUUCUUGUUGCGCGAACCACCGAGAGACAGACGGACAAAAUCCGAGGACUUCAAAAGCUGCUUAGGAGCCAAUCUUGUAGAUCCUUGAGAAAGAGACUCGGAAGUGGGCUUUACCUAAAAAAUGUGCGCGUCCUUCGUGCCCUUCGUGGAAUGUGCUGCUUCUUUCUUGGUCAAACUGAAUCCGCAGUUCGAUUUUUACACAUUUCUUUACUUUGUUUUCAUUAAUUACUCAAUGGCUCUCUUUAGUUGCUCGUCCUCUAUUCGUAAGAAAAGGUGCAAAAAUUGUUUUGAUAGCUCGUUUGGAGCAUCAAUGUGCGACAGGUAAGGCGAUUGCGACGUCGCCAGUUGCUGUUCUCCUUAAGCUCACGCGACGAUAUUUUGCUUCGAAUGAAACAUAAAGCGUUUCGGGAAGUGGGACAAUAAAAUAAAAUCGGACCUCAACAUGACGGGGAUUUCAACUGCAGUUGAUUUAUUCAAGCUCUUGACCUACAUUAGUCUCGAAAGUUUUUCCACGAAAUAAAUUUUCUUAUCUCAAUUGUCGCUGACUUUGGAUACUUGUAACCAGUUCCAUCGGUUGAAAUCUUCGGGAGGGAGUGCUCUGAUUGGAUGUAAAACGAAACUCGCGAAGUGCGUCUGCCUACCGCGGGCUACUGCUCGACGAUAGACUAUCCACUUCUGAUCCCUCUUUUCAGUCGGUCAAAGUUCAACACCACUUCGGAUGCAUUUUUGCCGAACGACACUGCGGGGGUUGAACAUUCGUGUCCGAAUACACGUCGCUUUUUUAUGGAACGGGCGACCGUGAGUCAACUGUCAAACAACCCUUUUGGGUUAUGAUCAUGACAUGGCAAAGGGCAUUUUUUUUAAAAAUAAUUUUAUUAUCGUUGUUCGAGAACGCCGACCCACUAAAGAUGGUCAUCGUGGUUUCUAUUUGGUAGUUGGUACUAGUCAAAUAUCGGUCUUCUUAUCACGAGCAGAUCCGUGCACACGGGACGAGCGAAGGUGACACUUUUCGAAAUAAUUGUUCAAGGAGAGUAUGAGAGCUGAUGUUCUUGUGUCUGGUUAGUUCGGUCUAAGCUCGAUAAAACCUAGAAAAGAUGAAACCCACAAUUUUCUUAGGACCGAUGUCGACGUGGUCGUGCAUUUGGUGAUUUGCGACCAUGUAAAUCGAUCUCUUGCUUCAUCUCAUGACCGGUUUAGUCCCUAAAUUAAUCUCCAGUCACAAUUUUAGGAUGAAUUCAUAUUUUUGUCUAGCUAUCAAUGGAAAAUGCCGGCUAAGUGAUGGGGAUACACACAUGACACUGCCGGUUACGUGGAAUACAAAAUAAAAAUAAUUCAGGAGAAUUACAAACAUGGUUCCUAUACUAUUGUCCGUGUGUUUAAUUUCAGUCCCUGAACUUUAUUUUGUGAUGCAUUCAGUUUGCAACCUGAUUUUAGAUCCCGAUUUCCAGCUAUUUUCCUCCUCAAAUCAAUUUGCUAAGUUCACGCAAAUCCUAAUCAGUUACGACCAAUGAACCAUAUGUAGGGAAACUUACAUUUGCUAACUUGGAUAGGCUUUCCUUAGGUAUCUAAUGACCUUAUAUGUUUGCCUGCCAAUGGCAAAUUAUCAUGGCUAUUGCCCAUUUAUUACGAAAUUAUCGUUUUGGGAAGGACGAUUUUAGAUUUGCCGGUCCACAUAGGCUGGAUUCUUGCUCAAGUGGUAGCCAUUCUCGCACUAAUCAUAACAUGUAGCGGUCGCACAUUAGUCUUGAGCACUUAUUCGACAUUUUCUGUUCACAUUUGGAUGGGAAAAAUACGAGAUUCAUCCGAAAAUCAAGAGUAAAGAUUAGUGCAGGGAACAUAUGUGUAACAAAAAUUAUAGUAGAGGGGACCCAAAUCGAGCAGGAGCAUUGUAGGGGCCAUUUUUGUAAUUUCGACUCGACAUUUUAUUUGAUUUUCUCAUGUUGCGUUAGUGCCAGUGUCCGAAGCUGGUGCCUAAUCAGCAUUCUUCGUCGUGGAACUCGAGCAAAAGCUUGUAGAUUCAGUACCCGGCAUGGAGAGAUCCCCUUUCGGUCUAUAUAUACGUGCGCCACUCGACAACACCGGUCUCCCAUUACCUCGUAUCUGAAAAUCUCUGCUAUGGAAAGGUUUGGUUCGAUGGAUGUGGAGAAUAGCAGAGCCAACUCGGCCGUUGUCCUGGCCCACUCGAACCAAGAAUACCCGAUCUCCAUCCCCGCUGCCGCUGCCGUCACAGCCGGCCAACCCCCACAGCCGCCGCCCUCGCCGGUGUGCGAGAAGUACAUAUACCCAUGCUUCAAAUUCUCGAUCAUCACCGUCACGGUCUUCGUCUGCACUCUCUUCUUGGUCAUACCCGCUCUCGUGAUCCCUGACUUCCGGGUCGAACCGGCCUCCUCCUCUGGCUCGUUCAACGUCUCCACCUCCGCGAUCUCCGUGCACUGCGACAUUCAGAUCAGGGUUGGGAACCCGAGCAGCUACUUCCGAGUGAAUUACACGCGCGUGAGGGCCACGCUCAAGUAUGGUGGCAAGCGCUUGUCGGGCGCUUUGUUGGAUCCACUCGUGGUGGGAAAGAAGAAGCAAGCUACGGUCGCCGCCGUGUUCGAGUCAAAAGUUUCGAACGGUAGAAACAGUUGGCAAGCCGUGACUCUGAACUCCAGCGUCUCGCGCGGCGAGGUGAGCGUUGACGUCGAACUGGAGGUCGGCAGGAGAAUAGGGUUGGGCGAGUGGUGGAUUAUUGCGUUUGAUGUGACCAUCUCAUGCAGGGACAUGAUCUUCACGUCCCCGUCCUCGGAGGGCCAGGAUUGGGCGUUGAUCACUCCGUCCGAGCUUUGCGACAUUGGCUUCUUUGGCUAUAUUUAACUGAAGCAAAAUCCGCCCGUGAAAAAAACUAAAAAUCACCAGAAGAAAAGAGAAAAGAAAAAAAAUAGAGCGCAUACACACUGCGUCAGUAUAAAGAAAAUUCUGCAUAAAGGAUCCUUAUCCUUCACUGAUUAGGAAACCAGCAUAUCUAAGGAUGCAUCGAGUUCGCUUGAGCAUCUGACGGAACUUUAGCUCAUGUGCAUGACACAUACGAUGCAUCCGCCGCCGUCCUCAUCCAAAAGAGUCGUCGUUCAAUGGGGUGAAGUUUGAUCGGUCUGUUGUUCAUAUCAUUCCAAGGAUUUGGGUACUCUCAAGUACUUGACUGGUUUUAAGGCAUUCGGAUCGCGACCUAUCACCUCUUAAAAAGUUGGUAAGUGGCUGAAACGAAAUUGAAGGCGGAUACACCCCUACCUUAUGACGUAAAGCGAGUCGAGUUAUUCAUACAUAAAGGAUAUCUAGAAUUCCUUGUUUAGGAACUGCAGUUGCGUACGUAUUAGCAGUAUUGGUUUGAUUUGAUUAGAAGUGUAAAAUUUAGAUGUGUGUGAUUGCUAGGAGUUGACUCUCCUCGUGUCGAUGAUUGUAACUAGCAGAUAUGAAUGGAUUGUUCAUGGUAUGAUGGUUUAUUUCCAAUUAUUCAGAUCUAUUUAAAUCUCCAUGGGGGUCUUAUACCUUGCAACCUGGUGCUGUCCAGGAUCUUCAGACAAAUGAGAGGACCCGCUAUUAACACCGCCUUAUAGUACUUUAUACAUGCGACUGCCGAUCUUCUUUUUUAAGUUAUAUCAGUAUGGUUGAUUUCAUUAGUUGCACUGAAUCUAGCCCAAACUUUUGAACUAGGGUUUUUAAUGCAAUGUGAAAGCUGGGGUAAUAUAUACUCUAUACUCCAAUUAAUCCAUCAAUCGGUGACCGACUUCCCUCGUUCUGGUUCACAUGAAAGAGAUCAUACAUAGUUUGUGUAAUGCGGUGGUAUUUAUAGCAUAGUUUUCCUGUUAUUAUGGAGGGAAUUAACAAGCAUUUACAUUCAAAUUAUGUCUCUAGGCAAAAGGUUGUGUCCCUAUAAGAAUACAAACAUGAAGUAUGUUCUCAAAAGGGAAACGGCCAUAUAUAUUGAAGAGACCCGUGUUAGUUUCUUCUAUGCCCUUUCCAUAUAGUUUACUCUCUUGUUGAUUGAUGAUCAAAGAAGUUAGAUCUAGUUGGUACUUUUCUAAGUACACUUACCUAUUUGCCUCUAAAGGAGGUGAGAUUAGAGUCUGGGAUUAUACGCUGAAAACAAGACUUGCAAAUAGGCCACUGAUUGUUUAAAUAAUAUAUUCAUCCAAAGAGAUUCAAGUAACUGUACUCAAAAUGGCAUUUUUAGCGAUUCCCCUUUCGGAGGAUCCAUUUUCCCGUUCCAACGGCUGAGGAGCCUCUAGCCACGCCACGCUUUCUGGAUCUUUAUAGAAGAAGCCAAGCCCUCUCUAUUGUUUGUUAUAAGUUGGUAAGCUUUAGAAUCGUGAAAAACCAGUCUCUUUCAUUUAUCUUAAGCUUUAGGUUGAACUUUCUUAAUGAGGUUUGAAGCUAGACCUGAUUUUAAAUCCUUCAAAUCUUUCAUAAUAAGAUGGUGUGCAUAAUUCCUGUUGUAUUUGUGUCAAUAUCAUCUCCUUUCCUUUGCAUCUUUCCUUAAUAAAAGCCCGUGAAGGAUUUAGCAUGUAAAAGUACUUGAAAAUUUCGCAUCUAUUUUUCAAAAGAAUCUCGCCGAUUUCCAGCGAAACAUUAAUAUGAAACAACAAUGACAUCUCAAAAACCAGAGUGAAUCAAAAGCUGGAAGCCACUCUUAACAUCCAUCCACGAACUUGGUGGAGAACCCUAGCAAAAACUAAAAAGGGCUAAAGUUUUCUGCUCUCUCUACAUCAUCUCUUACGAACUGUGAAUACCUUUUUGUAUCUUUACCUUUCAGUGAAUAUUUUGAGCAUCAUUAUCCUUUCCGCUUAGCUCAACAUGUGGGCACAAUCGCUCCUAGCUAAGCUAGGUAGUAUUUAAACCCAUAUUUAACUGAGAUUAAUUGAAUGAUAACUGGGUUUCUGGACUACUAAAGAAGGCAGCACUUGUCCUUUCACAAAGAUUGCGAUGGUGGGUUACCUUUCUUUCGUGGCCAUGAGAUUCUUGGAGGAUGCGAUGCUUUGUGUUCGGGCCACUCAUAUGAAUGCUCUUUCGUCGUGCUUUGCUGGCUUAAGACCGCGGGAUGACGUAAGGGGGAUUUCACGUAGCCAAAUGUGCCACAAGGAAAAUGACGUCAUACAUGAAUGAGUGUGUGUAUAUAUCGGUAAAUAGGUUAUUUCACCAAUAUAUAAAAGCACAUGGGGCUAAUCCUAUCGAAUUGUAAUAGCAUAUGGGAUCACUUAACGGAAACUCCAUCCAAAAAUUUCUAAACCUAUUGCACAAGGGCUAAUUCAAUUAUUAACUUUCUAAUUGUGCCAAAUUAAUUCUAAAUCUUUUGAUAAUUUAUUAAUUUAAUCCUGACAAAGUUUCUUUCUAAAAUGAACAAGAUUAGGUACUGAAAGGUACCUAAUUGGUGAAUUAGUGUAAUCAACCCCUGACCCUAGAUUUUCUGGUUGCGUAGGAAGUGAGAUACACACUUAUGCCUCACUUUGUUUCUAACCGACCCCAAUAGGUUAGUAGCGAUUUCUUAUUACAAAAUUCUUAAAAACACCUUAAUGUCUCGCGAGGUAUGGGCUUAGAAGAGCUCAUGUCUAAUCAUAGGUCUUAGGUCCGUCUUUUAAACAAUACCCUUAAACUUAUUUCCUUCCAAGAGGUAGGUUGUGACACACAUCAAUAUUAGUUGUCCGUAAAAACAUUAUUAACAUCACAUUAAAUGUCAUGUUCUCACGGUAGAAGUCAAUCAUAACUCUAGGGUCAAGCUUGACUCUCAAAUUUAAGUUCGGGCUUCCCACGACUAGUGGAGCUCAACACCAAGCGAAGCUCAGCCCAAAUGGAGUCAGGUGGUGGGGAUUAUCCCGAUUCGGGGCCAUGAGCUCGACAACCAUGUUUCCCACAUCUCUCUCGUCUAGCUCAAAUUCUUUCUUUCGUUUUCUUUUCUUUUAAAUUUUUUUUUAUGUAGCAUUCAUGUGGCGCCACAUUGUCAACAACUAAUUUUUUUUUUCUUUCAAACAGAUAUUAAUGAAAAUAUAAAAAAAAAACAAAAGAAAAGAAAAAGAAAAGAAAAGAAUAAAAAAAAUUUCAAAAAAUUGUUAAAAAAGAAAAAGGCGCGAGAGAGGCCGAGUCGAGGCCCAACCCGCCUGUCCUUCCUUCCCCGCGUGGGCCUGGGCCUGGGCCUGACCCCUCCAUUUCUUUCAUUUCUUCUUUCUUUUUCAAGCGAGCUCCAAGCCCGACCCUUUCUCUCCUUCCUCUCUUCCUCCCACCUUCACGCCUGUUUUGUUUUGGCAGAAAAGAAAGGGUACAAGCGCUAGAGGGGCAGAGCAUCGCGAGCGAGGUGAGCGUGAUUUGCUGGGUCGGGGCUUGGCCGACCUGCAAGCUGGCGAUGGCAGAAGCCAUGUGAGCUGGCCGGUGGCCUCCAAAAGAGGGGAAGAGGAGCGAGAGAAGGGGGGUUUCUCGGUUGUUUUUUUUUUUGGGUCGAGAGAGAGCAGGAGAGAAGGAGAGGACGAGCCGAAGGGAGAGGGGGAGCUCGAAGGAAAGCGUCGCCGUCGCCAGUCAUCCGCCCUCCGCCGCCCUCCGCCGCCCUCCGCCGCGGCCCUUUCCCAUUAAGCCAGGUAGGAGCACCCCGUCCCGUUGGAAGUUGCUUGAACUGGUAGAUUUUUUUGACCAAAAUCUUCACAAGCCGCAACAAGUUUAGGACGAUUCAUGAUGUUUUGAGAUGUUUUGAUUCUAAUGCAUCAUGCUUAGAUUGAGGAACGCUUCCAGUUUGAACCCAGAACUCGAGUUCAUGAAUGCAUACCAACUGCUCGACGUUUUGCUUGACUGAAGGGUGAAACAUUUAAGAAUACCGUUGGUCACCAAAAAAAAAAAAAAAACAUUUAGGAAUACCGCCUUACCAAAAAAACAUUUAGGAACACUGAACUUGAAUACGGGAUUUUUAAGUGAAUCAUGGCAAAAUGAGAUAGAUCCGGCAUGAAACACAUCUAUUUAAGCUUGUAGGCAGCAUAUCUGGCUCGAAGAUUGCAAUAAAUCUCGCUCUGGAACACGUUUGUUAAAUCACAUAUUAACCGUUCGAUAGAAUGCCUGAGAGAAGGCCAAAAUAUCUAUGCAUGUUAGAGCUCAAGAUCAAUUCAUGCUUUGUCCUGUAUUGGUUGGAUUUGGUUUAAUAUUAGUAUUUUCUCUAUGUUUACACGCAACUUGAUGGAAAAAUCCUGCUUGAGUCGUAUGCAUUCUUCGCGUCGGAGAGCUCCCUUUCGGAAACCCAUCCGUCACCACACCAGCAGUUCGAGGCCGCAUUAGUUAGGAUGCUCUUAUUUUUCACAUGCCUGAUUAAAAGUCCAUUUCUAGAACAUGAAACAGGAUGUCUUCCCUCGGUCCCCAAUCCAUUUGUACGUCUCCUUCAGUUCAUACGUCCAUCUUUUGCCGCUCGCUCUCUCUUCCCUGCUGUAGACAAAACACAUCUCACCACCCCUGUUUUGUGAGAUCGAGAGAAAACAAGCUUCAAGGCACAACCGAAACAUGAAAACUCCUGGUUCUGUUGAAUGCAAGUCGAGGGCCAGGAGGAUUUAUUCAUAGAAAAGCUCCCAACAAUGGUGAUAGCGGUGUCGGGCUUCCUUGAUGAGGAAGGAGAAUACCUCAGGCUCAGCCCUUUGCGAAAACGAUCGUUUUCGAGAAACAGGUAUCACUCAAAAUCUCACCUUUCUACAAUAUCGGGCGCUGCGAAUGUGUAGGAGCAGCGAAAGUUGAAGGGAGCGGUGGUUGCUCGUGAAUGAGGGUGCUCCAUUCGCUUGUUGAGAACCAAGGGUCUGCUCUAAGCAAGGCUUUGAUAGCCCAUUGUCAAGCUACUGUAGGAGGAACUUUGAGGGAUCUCUAUAUUGCCAAUAAUAUAUUAAGUGGGUACACAAAAUGCGGAGAGAUCUGGCUUGCCCACCAAGUGUUCGACCGAAUGCGCAACAGAGAUGCAGUGUCUUGGAACACCAUGAUUUCCGGUUAUGUUAAUAGUGGUAAGCUGGAGGGAGCAUGGAAUUUUCUGGAGUCCAUGAGACAAUGUGGACUAGAAGUGGAUGCUUAUACUUUUUCGAGUAUGCUAAAAGGAGUAGCUAGUGCUGGUACGCUUGAUCUUGGACAGCAGUUGCAUUGCUUGAUUUUCAAGCACGGAUACAGUAGGAAUGUUUACACGGGAAGCGCUCUUUUGGACAUGUAUGCUAAGUGCGAGAGGGUUGAGGAUGCAUACGUCGUGCUCCAACACAUGCCGCAACGUAACUCUGUCUCAUGGAAUGCGCUUAUCAGUGGAUUUGCGCAGAGCAGUGACAGAGAGACUGCAUUUUGGCUUUUUGAUAGCAUGGAGCAUGAUGGCGUUAAGCCAGAUGAUGGGACCUUCGCUCCUCUCUUGACAUUGCUCAACGACCAUGAGUUUUUCAAGCUAACUGCACAGGUCCAUGCCAAAAUUAUAAAGCAUGGUCUAGAAUGGAAAAAUAAUGUUUGUAAUGCUGCAGUUUGUUCAUACUCGGAGUGUGGCUCCAUUGAAGAUGCUAAGAAACUGUUUGAUAGCAUUGUCUUUAGAGAUAUAGUGACAUGGAAUUCAAUGCUAGCUGCCUACCUAGUGCAUGGUGAAGAAGAUUCUGCCUUUAGGCUUUUUAUUGAUAUGCAGUGGCUGGGCAUUGAACCGGAUUUUUACACUUACACAAGUGUCAUAAGUGCUUGUUUUGAAGAAGCAUGUAAAAAUCUGGGAAAGUCCCUCCAUGCUUUGGUAAUUAAAAGAGGUCUGGAGCGAUCAUUACCAAUCUCCAAUGCAUUUAUAGCUAUGUAUAUCAAAAUGGGUAAUGGAUCCAUGGACGGUGCUAUUCGUGUCUUCAAAUCAAUGCAAUCCAAGGACCGGGUCUCUUGGAAUUCCAUGUUGACCGGAUACUCCCAAGUUGGGUUAAAUGAAGAUGCAUUGGAACUUUUUGCCCAGAUGAGAUCUUUGAAUACUGAGAUUGAUCAUUAUGCUCUUUCAGCAGUUCUCAAGUCUUGCUCUGAUUUAGCAACUCUCUUUGUGGGCCAACAAGUUCAUGCAUUGGCACUUAAGUUUGGCUUCGAGUCAAAUGAAUGUGUUGGCAGUGCACUGAUCUUUAUGUACUCUAAGUGUGGCAUUAUUAAAGAUGCUAGAAAUUCUUUCAAAGAGACUUUCCAAAGUAGCUCAGUCACUUGGAAUGCGAUUAUCUUUGCCUAUGCACAACAUGGUCUAGGACAUGAUGCACUUGAUCUUUUCCAUUUGAUGAGAGCAAGGAGAAUAACGCUUGAUCACAUCACCUUUGUUGCUGUCCUGACUGCUUGUAGCCACAUUGGUUUGGUUGAAGAGGGCUAUGGGUUUCUAUUAUCAAUGGAAAUGGAUUAUGGCAUCCCUCCAAGGAUGGAGAACUAUGCUUGUGCAAUUGAUCUUUUUGGGCGUGCUGGGCUUGUGAAUGAGGCUAAGGCCUUGGUGGAAUUGAUGCCAUUUCAACCUGAUAUGAUGGUGUGGAGGACUUUAUUGGGUGCUUGUAGGAGUAGCGGGAACAUGGAAUUGGCUUGUCAAGUCGGAAAUCAACUACUUGAGUUAGAGCCUGAAGAACAUAGCACUUAUGUUCUGCUCUCGGACAUGUAUGGGCGCCUUAAAAAAUGGGGUGAUCAUGCCAGGGUGAAAAGACUUAUGAGGGAAAGAGGGGUGAGGAAGGUCCCUGGCUGGAGUUGGAUUGAGGUUCAAAACCAGGUUCAUUCUUUUAAUGCUGAAGACCGUUCCCACCCACUUUGCGAAGAUAUAUACCCUGUACUGGAAGGCUUGAUGGAUGAAGUAAGAAAGUUGGGCGGGGAUGGCAAUUCAGAGGAUUCAUUGCAACAAAUGGAGAUAUGGUUCAGGGCUCUUUGACAUUGACAUCUAUUCAUAUUCUCUUAGUCGAUGGCAACGAAUUUCAUUCGUUCAGGUACAGGUGCCUGGAUAAUUUUCUGGGCAAACAUUUGGGGCGGCAAAUAAGGAAGAAUUGGAAAUAUGGUUUGGGACUUUUUGACAGGGACAUUUAUUCGUAUUCUUGUAGUCGAUGGGAACAGAUUUCAUUCAUUCAGCUACAGGUGCCGGAUAGUUUUUUACGCAUACAUUUGGUGCAGCAAAUAAGGAAGAAUGGUAAGCAUUCUCCAUUGUAAUCAUACAGAAACACAAAUUUCAGGCAGCCUUCUUCUCAUUGUUUUAUGCUAGAUGACAAGGAGGAGAAAUUGGUUUGUCAUGAAUGUGAAGCAUUCCCUUAUUCAAUUGAAGUUACCGUCUUCUCCAAAUAGGAACUCUUGUCUUUGUUGCUUUUCAAGGGGAAAAAGCUGUGAAGCAGGGAGAGGGGAGUCAGCAGUGGUGGGGGGUGAGGAGGGUGCCUCUCUUGAGCUCGUCCCGCCGCAGUGCAGGUGAAAAAAUCAGCUGGCCCCUUUGACGCACUACUCUGCGUGGGCCAGUUCUUCCCUGACGCGACGGAGCUGCUGGAGGAGUUCGCGGACUAUGCGGAGGGCCGGUCGCCGAUCCUGCUCCCGACCUACUUCAUCGGAGACUACGGCAUUGGGGCGCCCAAGGUGCUGUCGGCCGCUUUGAGGAGCCACGCCGACUUAGGGUUUAAGAUGGACGGCCUGAAGAUAUGCGAGAGUCUGUAUUGGCUGAAGGGGAGUGGCAAGUUCACACUUCACAGUAACAUGUAACUCUAGUUUUCGCCUGGCAGGUCAACAUAUUUUGGUGUUGCUUCUUAAGUUUUUGUCAGUUAAAUUAUGUUUAUCAAAUACUUUAGGUAGGAAGGAUGUAGACUGAGUUAGACAUGAACAUUUUAUUUGAUUGUCCUCAAUGUUUAUCAUGCAGUGAGAUACUAAGGCAUGCUUUUGUGCAUACAAGUAAUGGAAUGGCAGCUGUUUUCUCUUUCUGUAUAUACUUUAUGUUGUAGAUAAGAUCUUUUCAUAUGCUAAUGACAUGCUUCUCUGUGACUAGCUUACUCUAUAUUGAAGAAGCUUAAUCUAUAUUGAAGUUAUCUGUUAUCUAAACUGCUUAGUAUAAAUAUCUCUCUGUUCUUGUCUUCUACUAGUGUUUCCAAUUUUCAUUCUGCCCAUGUGCAUCAUAAUCUUGUUUUUCUCACAGAAAUUUAUCCAUGCACUUUCUCCUACUCCGGCAUCUACCAUGUCUUCUUCUGAGAUUAGCAUGAAACCUCCCAACACAACCUUGUCUCCGUUUACAGCAGUAGAGAAAACUGCUGGUGCAAAGGAAGCAGGAAAGAGGACUGCCGAUUAUACUAAUGACGCACAAUAUUGGAGAUAUGAUGUUUCCCAAAAACAUCAGAAGCAUGCAGUUGGUGAUGGUGAUAAGCUAUGCUUUAAGUAUUUGUCUUCUGGGUCUUGUCCACGAGGUGAAAAAUGCAACUUCCGACAUGAUUUAGAUGCAAGGGAGCAAUACCGAAGAGGGGUUUGUUUUGAUUUCCUUAACAAAGGGCAAUGUGAAAGGGGUCCUGACUGCAACUUUAAGCACAGUAUGCAGGACGAAGAGGAAAGUGGUUCUUGAAAUGGAAAUAGGUCUAGAGGUGCUAGUGUUAAUAGGUCAGUUUCCUCAAUGGGCACCUUUUGUUUUUUUUGCUAAUAAUUUACAUUGGUUCUAGUGGAAUGAAAUUUUCGACCACUGCUUAUGAAUCCAUUUUAGCACAGUUUGUAAUUGAAAUUCACGUCAAAAGAAUGCUGGUUUUGUUUAUUGAGCCCCAAUGUGGAGUCUCAUCUGAUCAUCAGUGUAGGAGAAAGAUACUACUGUGCACUGCCCAAGGGACCGUUAGUUGAAGAUCACGUGCUGAUAAUACCUAUCGAGCAUCUACCAAAUACUCUUUCUUUGCCUCCAGAAAAUGAAACAGAGCUUAACAGAUUCCAGAACUGCCUGAAGUUGUAUCACAAGAACCAACGGAAGGAAGUUGUUUUCUUGGAGUGGGUUUCCAAACGUGGGACUCCUGCU
This 34698-nucleotide long non-coding RNA is filed under the name Eucalyptus grandis. RNAcentral describes it as "long non-coding RNA (EGRA_LNC001332)". The record is from RNAcentral. Lineage: Eukaryota; Viridiplantae; Streptophyta; Magnoliopsida; Myrtales; Myrtaceae.